Molecule: ribosomal RNA, 1066 nt
Filed under: Vibrio alginolyticus
Lineage: Bacteria; Pseudomonadati; Pseudomonadota; Gammaproteobacteria; Vibrionales; Vibrionaceae
Description: partial 23S ribosomal RNA
Rfam family: Bacterial large subunit ribosomal RNA
Source: RNAcentral
UUUGUAUAAUGGGUCAGCGACUUAUAUUCAGUGGCAAGGUUAACCAUCUAGGGGAGCCGUAGGGAAACCGAGUCUUAACUGGGCGUUCAGUCUCUGGAUAUAGACCCGAAACCAGGUGAUCUAGCCAUGGGCAGGUUGAAGGUUGAGUAACAUCAACUGGAGGACCGAACCGACUAAUGUUGAAAAAUUAGCGGAUGACUUGUGGCUAGGGGUGAAAGGCCAAUCAAACCUGGAGAUAGCUGGUUCUCCCCGAAAGCUAUUUAGGUAGCGCCUCGGACGAAUACUACUGGGGGUAGAGCACUGUUAAGGCUAGGGGGUCAUCCCGACUUACCAACCCUUUGCAAACUCCGAAUACCAGUAAGUACUAUCCGGGAGACACACGGCGGGUGCUAACGUCCGUCGUGGAGAGGGAAACAACCCAGACCGCCAGCUAAGGUCCCAAAUUACUACUAAGUGGGAAACGAUGUGGGAAGGCUCAGACAGCCAGGAUGUUGGCUUAGAAGCAGCCAUCAUUUAAAGAAAGCGUAAUAGCUCACUGGUCGAGUCGGCCUGCGCGGAAGAUGUAACGGGGCUAAGUAGUAAACCGAAGCUGCGGCAAUAUACUUUUGUAUAUUGGGUAGGGGAGCGUUCUGUAAGCGGUUGAAGGUGUGUGGUAACGCAUGCUGGACGUAUCAGAAGUGCGAAUGCUGACAUGAGUAACGAUAAAGGGGGUGAAAAACCUCCUCGCCGGAAGACCAAGGGUUCCUGUCCAACGUUAAUCGGGGCAGGGUAAGUCGACCCCUAAGGCGAGGCCGAAAGGCGUAGUCGAUGGGAAACGGGUUAAUAUUCCCGUACUUCUUACAAUUGCGAUGGGGGGACGGAGAAGGCUAGGUGGGCCUGGCGACGGUUGUCCAGGUUCAAGUGCGUAGGCUGAGAAAUUAGGUAAAUCCGGUUUCUCUUAAGGCUGAGACACGACGUCGAGCUACUACGGUAGUGAAGUCAUUGAUGCCAUGCUUCCAGGAAAAGCCUCUAAGCUUCAGAUUGUAAGGAAUCGUACCCCAAACCGACACAGGUGGUCGGGUAGAGA